RNAcentral lists this ribosomal RNA (407 nucleotides) under uncultured bacterium. RNAcentral describes it as "partial 16S ribosomal RNA". It matches the Rfam family "Bacterial small subunit ribosomal RNA", at positions 30 to 526 of the family's 1533-position model. The record is from RNAcentral.
AUUGAACGCUGGCGGCAGGCCUAACACAUGCAAGUCGAGCGGAGCGGCGGACGGGUGAGUAAUGCCUAGGAAUCUGCCUGGUAGUGGGGGAUAACGUCCGGAAACGGGCACUAAUACCGCAUACUAUCAGAUGAGCCUAGGUCGUAUUAGCUAGUGGGUGGGGUAAAGGCCUACCAAGGCGACGAUCCGUAACUGGUCCGGGAGGUUGAUCAGUCACACGGGAACGGAGACACGGUCCGGCCUCCUACGGAGAGCAACAGUGGGGAAUAUUGGACAAUGGGCGAAGGCCUGAUCCAGCCAUGCCGCGUGUGUGAAGAGGGUCUUCGGAUUGUAAAGAGCGUUAAUUUGGGCGACGUUACCGAAAUAAUAAGCAACGGCUAACUUCGUGCCAGCAGCCGCGGUAAUAC